This 253-nucleotide ribosomal RNA is filed under the name uncultured bacterium. RNAcentral's name for it is "partial 16S ribosomal RNA". It matches the Rfam family "Bacterial small subunit ribosomal RNA", at positions 524 to 776 of the family's 1533-position model. The record is from RNAcentral.
GACGAACCGAGCGAACGUUGUUCGGAAUCACUGGGCUUAAAGGGCGCGUAGGCGGGUGCUCAAGUCCGGGGUGAAAUCCUCCAGCUCAACUGGAGAACUGCCUCGGAUACUGGGUGUCUCGAGGGUGGUAGGGGUAUGCGGAACUCUCGGUGGAGCGGUGAAAUGCGUUGAUAUCGUAAGGAAGACCAGUGGCGAAGGCGGGUCUCUGGACAGUUCCUGACGCUGAGGCACGAAGGCCAGGGGAGCAAACGGG